RNAcentral lists this unclassified non-coding RNA (224 nucleotides) under uncultured fungus. Its description in RNAcentral is "sequence contains ITS1, 5.8S rRNA gene". Lineage: Eukaryota; Fungi. The record is from RNAcentral.
UCUCCGUAGGUGAACCUGCGGAGGGAUCAUUACUGAGUGAGGGUCUCCGGGCCCGACCUCCAACCCCAUGUGAACAGAAACCUGUUGCUUCGGGGGCGACCCUGCCUUUCGGCGCGGCGCCCCCGGAGGCUCAUCAAACACUGCAUCUCUGCGUCGGAGUUUAAAACAAAUUAAACAAAACUUUCAACAACGGAUCUCUUGGUUCUGGCAUCGAUGAACGCAGC